UGUUGAAUCAUCCAAUCUGGAACUUCAAAAAUUGGUGUCAUCAAAACUUGUGAUUGACCAAUAUUGACUAAAUCAUCUACCAAUUUUGUCACCUCAACAUUUAAUGCAUCAAUUUCAGCCCUCAAUCGCUCCAUUUCACAUAUGUAUUGGUCACUCAAUACUGCUUUCUCUUGCACCAAGAACUCUGCCUUUUUUGUUCUGCUUACAACUGACACUUGACUAGCUUCUAUUCCAAAUCCCAUGUUUGGCGAUUCUAGAGCAAUUUGUCCUAUUAACCUUCUAUGAUCUUAAAGAUGUGUUCUUUUUCUUUCGUCUAAGCUUACUAUUUCUGUAAAAACCUCCAUUCCAAUAUCAACUUAGACUCUUCAUUUA
Molecule: long non-coding RNA, 372 nt
Filed under: Physcomitrium patens
Lineage: Eukaryota; Viridiplantae; Streptophyta; Bryopsida; Funariales; Funariaceae
Description: long non-coding RNA (PPAT_LNC004670)
Source: RNAcentral